Molecule: ribosomal RNA, 25 nt
Filed under: Candidatus Rickettsia andeana
Lineage: Bacteria; Pseudomonadati; Pseudomonadota; Alphaproteobacteria; Rickettsiales; Rickettsiaceae
Source: RNAcentral
CUAGCUUGGUGGUUAUAGCAUGAGU